GGCGAGGGCUGGGAAGCCUUGUUCUGGUUGCAGUAGGAAAGUCGAGUCGAAACCAAGGCUGGGUUGGCCUCAUUAGAGCAGGACACAGGCAGCAAAACAUCUCCUUUCCCAAGAUUCCUUUCUUGUUGCUGAGGAAGCAGUAGUUAUAAUAAUGGCCUUCUGGAGACAUUGUGCCAAGAUUGUGUAUUUCUGCAUGUGUAAGAGGGACUGAGGAGUGAGCAUCAACAGUGUCCCUUGUUCUAGAGUUGGACAGCCCCAUCUCCAGUGCUAGAAGGAAACCGUUUCUAUCCCCAGAUUUACCCAAAUCUUUAGUCCUUGCCCGAACACAGACUUGAGCUGAUGACCUGGUUUCAGCUGACCUUGAAAUAAGCAGCCUCUGUGACCUUCAAGCAAUUACGUGACUCAGACAGCUGGCUAUACUGUCUGCUGGCU
Molecule: long non-coding RNA, 432 nt
Organism: Pezoporus flaviventris
Lineage: Eukaryota; Metazoa; Chordata; Aves; Psittaciformes; Psittacidae
Exons: 3
Source: RefSeq, a predicted model, not a curated record